AAAAAAUCUUGCUCAUUUCCCACCGGUUCAUGUUGGAUAAUAACAUAUGAGUUAUGACUGCACCAUCCGGGAUUCGUGAGCUUCCUCCCAAGCUAUGCUCUCCGUCUUUGCAUUUUAAGUUCAUCUUUCAUAAUUUCUCAUUUAAAUUACUUUUAUAGAGGUUAUGAGGAUAAAUAUCGACUUCAGUAUGCAUGUGUGU
This is a non-coding RNA of Arabidopsis thaliana (thale cress), 199 nucleotides long. Lineage: Eukaryota; Viridiplantae; Streptophyta; Magnoliopsida; Brassicales; Brassicaceae. The record is from RefSeq.